This 292-nucleotide ribosomal RNA is filed under the name uncultured bacterium. RNAcentral describes it as "partial 16S ribosomal RNA". It matches the Rfam family "Bacterial small subunit ribosomal RNA", at positions 505 to 796 of the family's 1533-position model. The record is from RNAcentral.
GUGUCAGCAGCCGCGGUAAAACGUAGGAAGCGAGCGUUAUCCGGAUUUACUGGGCGUAAAGCGCGUGUAGGCGGUUUGAUAAGUUGGAUGUGAAAUCUCCUGGCUCAACUGGGAGGGGUCGUUCAAAACUAUCAGACUAGAGGACAGUAGAGGAAGGUGGAAUUCCCGGUGUAGUGGUGAAAUGCGUAGAUAUCGGGAGGAACACCAGUGGCGAAAGCGGCCUUCUGGACUGUAUCUGACGCUCAGACGCGAAAGCUAGGGGAGCGAACGGGAUUAGAAACCCCCGUAGUCC